GACAGAGGGUGCAAACGUUGUUCGGAAUCACUGGGCGUAAAGCGCGUGUAGGCGGCUUGGUAAGUCGGGUGUGAAAUCCCAGGGCUCAACCCUGGAAGUGCAUUCGAAACUGCUCGGCUAGAGUUCUGGAGAGGAAGGUGGAAUGCUUGGUGUAGAGGUGAAAUUCGUAGAUAUCAAGCGGAACACCGGUGGCGAAGGCG
Molecule: ribosomal RNA, 200 nt
Filed under: uncultured prokaryote
Description: partial 16S ribosomal RNA
Rfam family: Bacterial small subunit ribosomal RNA
Source: RNAcentral